UAGUCCAUUUACAUUUACCUUCAAGGUUAAUAUUGUUAUGUGUUUUGGUUUGCACUAGGAUGCUAAAGAAAAAUCCCUACACUUUCUGUCUGUCUUUGUGGCGGCCCAGAUUGAAUUGGGGAAUACAUCU
This is a small nucleolar RNA of Colobus angolensis palliatus, 130 nucleotides long. NCBI's taxonomy places the organism in Eukaryota, Metazoa, Chordata, Mammalia, Primates, Cercopithecidae. The record is from Ensembl.